Non-coding RNA from Podarcis lilfordi (Lilford's wall lizard), 113 nucleotides. NCBI's taxonomy places the organism in Eukaryota, Metazoa, Chordata, Lepidosauria, Squamata, Lacertidae. The record is from the annotation of a GenBank genome assembly.
UACAAUAAAAAAGAAGCUGAAAUAAUUCUAAAAUUGCCAAGUAUGAAUAUAUCAUAAGAUUCAUACUUGGCAGUUUUAGAAUUAUUUCAGCUUCUUUUUUAUUGUACUUCAUA